UACAGAGGUCUCAAGCGUUGUUCGGAUUCAUUGGGCGUAAAGGGUGCGUAGGCGGCGCGGUAAGUCGGGUGUGAAAUCUCGGAGCUUAACUCCGAAACUGCAUUCGAUACUGCCGUGCUUGAGGACUGGAGAGGAGACUGGAAUUUACGGUGUAGCGGUGAAAUGCGUAGAUAUCCGGAGGAACACCGGUGGCGAAGGCGGCUUCCUGGACCGACACUGACGCUGAGGCGCGAAAGCUAGGGGAGCAAACGGG
RNAcentral lists this ribosomal RNA (253 nucleotides) under uncultured bacterium. RNAcentral's name for it is "partial 16S ribosomal RNA". It matches the Rfam family "Bacterial small subunit ribosomal RNA", at positions 524 to 776 of the family's 1533-position model. The record is from RNAcentral.